UACGAAGGGGGCUAGCGUUGCUCGGAAUCACUGGGCGUAAAGGGUGCGUAGGCGGGUCUUUAAGUCAGGGGUGAAAUCCUGGAGCUCAACUCCAGAACUGCCUUUGAUACUGAGGAUCUUGAGUUCGGGAGAGGUGAGUGGAACUGCGAGUGUAGAGGUGAAAUGCGUAGAUAUCUGGAGGAACACCCGUGGUGCAGACGGCUUGCUGGACCGUGACUGACGCUGAGGCACGAAAGCGUGGGUAGCAAACAGG
RNAcentral lists this ribosomal RNA (253 nucleotides) under uncultured bacterium. RNAcentral describes it as "partial 16S ribosomal RNA". It matches the Rfam family "Bacterial small subunit ribosomal RNA", at positions 524 to 776 of the family's 1533-position model. The record is from RNAcentral.